Molecule: ribosomal RNA, 397 nt
Filed under: uncultured bacterium
Lineage: Bacteria
Description: partial 16S ribosomal RNA
Rfam family: Bacterial small subunit ribosomal RNA
Source: RNAcentral
AUCCGUAGGUGACAAGCGUUAUCCGGAUUUACUGGGCGUAAAGGGCGUGUAGGCGGUCUUGCAAGUCAGAAGUGAAAUUCCUGAGCUCAACUCGGGCGCUGCUUCUGAAACUGCAGGACUUGAGUGCUGGAGGGGAAAGUGGAAUUCCUGGUGGAGCGGUAAAAUGCGUAGAGAUCAGGAGGAACACCGGUGGCGAAGGCGACUUUCUGGCUGACAACUGACGCUGAGGCGCGAAAGCGUGGGGAGCGAACAGGAUUAGAUACCCUGGUAGUCCACGCUGUAAACGAUGAUUACUAGGUGUAGGGGGUAUCGACUCCCUCUGUGCCGCAGUUAACGCAGUAAGUAAUCCACCUGGGGAGUACGGUCGCAAGAUUAAAACUCAAAGGAAUUGACGGGG